Molecule: non-coding RNA, 70 nt
Organism: Phrynosoma platyrhinos (Desert horned lizard)
Lineage: Eukaryota; Metazoa; Chordata; Lepidosauria; Squamata; Phrynosomatidae
Source: the annotation of a GenBank genome assembly
GCCAGUGUAGUGUAGUGGUUUGAGCAUUAGACUACAGUUCUGGAGAUCAGAGUUCAAUUCCCCAUUUGAG